UUAAAUUGAAGAGUUUGAUCAUGGCUCAGAUUGAACGCUGGCGGGAGGCCUAAAGCAGGUAAGUCGAACGGUAACAGGAAGCAGCUUA
This 88-nucleotide ribosomal RNA is filed under the name Escherichia coli. Its description in RNAcentral is "partial 16S ribosomal RNA". Lineage: Bacteria; Pseudomonadati; Pseudomonadota; Gammaproteobacteria; Enterobacterales; Enterobacteriaceae. The record is from RNAcentral.